This 1023-nucleotide ribosomal RNA is filed under the name Mycolicibacterium porcinum. RNAcentral's name for it is "bacterial SSU rRNA". It matches the Rfam family "Bacterial small subunit ribosomal RNA", at positions 67 to 1107 of the family's 1533-position model. Lineage: Bacteria; Bacillati; Actinomycetota; Actinomycetes; Mycobacteriales; Mycobacteriaceae. The record is from RNAcentral.
CGGAAAGGCCCUUCGGGGUACUCGAGUGGCGAACGGGUGAGUAACACGUGGGUGAUCUGCCCUGCACUUUGGGAUAAGCCUGGGAAACUGGGUCUAAUACCGAAUAUGACCGCGCUCUUCAUGGGGUGUGGUGGAAAGCUUUUGCGGUGUGGGAUGGGCCCGCGGCCUAUCAGCUUGUUGGUGGGGUAAUGGCCUACCAAGGCGACGACGGGUAGCCGGCCUGAGAGGGUGACCGGCCACACUGGGACUGAGAUACGGCCCAGACUCCUACGGGAGGCAGCAGUGGGGAAUAUUGCACAAUGGGCGCAAGCCUGAUGCAGCGACGCCGCGUGAGGGAUGACGGCCUUCGGGUUGUAAACCUCUUUCAAUAGGGACGAAGCGCAAGUGACGGUACCUAUAGAAGAAGGACCGGCCAACUACGUGCCAGCAGCCGCGGUAAUACGUAGGGUCCGAGCGUUGUCCGGAAUUACUGGGCGUAAAGAGCUCGUAGGUGGUUUGUCGCGUUGUUCGUGAAAACUCACAGCUUAACUGUGGGCGUGCGGGCGAUACGGGCAGACUAGAGUACUGCAGGGGAGACUGGAAUUCCUGGUGUAGCGGUGGAAUGCGCAGAUAUCAGGAGGAACACCGGUGGCGAAGGCGGGUCUCUGGGCAGUAACUGACGCUGAGGAGCGAAAGCGUGGGGAGCGAACAGGAUUAGAUACCCUGGUAGUCCACGCCGUAAACGGUGGGUACUAGGUGUGGGUUUCCUUCCUUGGGAUCCGUGCCGUAGCUAACGCAUUAAGUACCCCGCCUGGGGAGUACGGCCGCAAGGCUAAAACUCAAAGGAAUUGACGGGGGCCCGCACAAGCGGCGGAGCAUGUGGAUUAAUUCGAUGCAACGCGAAGAACCUUACCUGGGUUUGACAUGCACAGGACGCCAGUAGAGAUAUUGGUUCCCUUGUGGCCUGUGUGCAGGUGGUGCAUGGCUGUCGUCAGCUCGUGUCGUGAGAUGUUGGGUUAAGUCCCGCAACGAGCGCAACCCUUG